RNAcentral lists this ribosomal RNA (982 nucleotides) under uncultured bacterium. Its description in RNAcentral is "bacterial SSU rRNA". It matches the Rfam family "Bacterial small subunit ribosomal RNA", at positions 12 to 996 of the family's 1533-position model. The record is from RNAcentral.
UUUGAUUCUGGCUCAGGAUGAACGCUAGCGGCAGGCCUAAUACAUGCAAGUCGAACGGUAAAUAUUUUAGCAAUAGAAUAUGAGAGUGACGUACGGGUGCGUAACACGUAUGCAACCUACCCUUUACAGGCGGAUAGCUCGGGGAAACUCGAAUUAACCCGUCAUAAGAUCAUAGAGUGGCAUCACUUAGUGAUUAAAAUUACGGUGGUAAAGGAUGGGCAUGCGUCUGAUUAGUUAGUUGGUGCGGGUAACGGCCCACCAAGACGAUGAUCAGUAGGGGAACUGAGAGGUUGAUCCCCCACACUGGCACUGAGAUACGGGCCAGACUCCUACGGGAGGCAGCAGUAGGGAAUAUUGGUCAAUGGAUGGAAGUCUGAACCAGCCAUGCCGCGUGCAGGAAGAAGGCCUUCUGGGUUGUAAACUGCUUUUGCCAGGGGCUAAAAAGCUCAUGCGUGAGAAAUUGAAAGUACCUGGUGAAUAAGCCACGGCUAACUACGUGCCAGCAGCCGCGGUAAUACGUAGGUGGCAAGCGUUGUCCGGAUUUAUUGGGUUUAAAGGGUGCGUAGGCGGCUUUGUAAGUCAGUGGUGAAAUAUGGCAGCUCAACUGUCAGGGUGCCAUUGAUACUGCGGAGCUUGAGUACAGAUGAGGUAGGCGGAAUUGACGGUGUAGCGGUGAAAUGCUUAGAUAUCGUCAAGAACACCGAUAGCGAAGGCAGCUUACUGGGCUGUAACUGACGCUGAGGCACGAAAGUGUGGGGAUCAAACAGGAUUAGAUACCCUGGUAGUCCACACUGUAAACGUUGAUGACUCGCUGUUGGCGAUACACAGCCAGCGGCAGAGAGAAAUCGUUAAGUCAUCCACCUGCGAGUACGCCGGCAACGGUGAAACUCAAAGGAAUUGACGGGGGUCCGCACAAGCGGUGGAGCAUGUGGUUUAUUCGAUGAUACGCGAGGACCUUACCUGGACUAGAAUGCCUUGAUGG